RNAcentral lists this ribosomal RNA (301 nucleotides) under uncultured bacterium. RNAcentral's name for it is "partial 16S ribosomal RNA". It matches the Rfam family "Bacterial small subunit ribosomal RNA", at positions 509 to 807 of the family's 1533-position model. The record is from RNAcentral.
CAGUCGCCACGGGAAUACGAAGGGUGCAAGCGUUAAUCGGAAUUACUGGGCGUAAAGCGUGCGUAGGCGGUUUGUUAAGUCUGCUGUGAAAUCCCCGGGCUCAACCUGGGAAUGGCAGUGGAUACUGGCAAGCUAGAGUGUGUCAGAGGAUGGUGGAAUUCCCGGUGUAGCGGUGAAAUGCGUAGAGAUCGGGAGGAACAUCAGUGGCGAAGGCGGCCAUCUGGGACAACACUGACGCUGAAGCACGAAAGCGUGGGGAGCAAACAGGAUUAGAUACCCCGGUAGUCCCUGUCUCUUAUAC